UUGACAUCCAGAGAAUUUAGCAGAGAUGCUUUAGUGCCUUCGGGAACUCUGAGACAGGUGCUGCAUGGCUGUCGUCAGCUCGUGUUGUGAAAUGUUGGGUUAAGUCCGCAACGAGCGCAACCCUUAUCCUUUGUUGCCAGCACGUAAUGGUGGGAACUCAAAGGAGACUGCCGGUGAUAAACCGGAGGAAGGUGGGGAUGACGUCAAGUCAUCAUGGCCCUUACGAGUAGGGCUACACACGUGCUACAAUGGCGCAUACAAAGAGAAGCGACCUCGCGAGAGCAAGCGGACCUCAUAAAGUGCGUCGUAGUCCGGAUUGGAGUCUGCAACUCGACCCCAUGAAGUCGGAAUCGCUAGUAAUCGUAAAUCAGAAUGUUACGGUGAAUACGUUCCCGGGCCUUGUACACACCGCCCGUCACACCAUGGGAGUGGGUUGCAAAAGAAGUAGAUAGCUUAACCUUCGGGAGGGCGUUUACCACUUUGUGAUUCAUGACUGGGGUGAAGUCGUAACAAGGUAGGCGUAGUGCU
This 528-nucleotide ribosomal RNA is filed under the name uncultured bacterium. RNAcentral describes it as "bacterial SSU rRNA". It matches the Rfam family "Bacterial small subunit ribosomal RNA", at positions 981 to 1509 of the family's 1533-position model. The record is from RNAcentral.